Molecule: transfer RNA, 72 nt
Filed under: Piridium sociabile
Lineage: Eukaryota; Vitrellaceae
Description: tRNA-Thr
Rfam family: tRNA
About the family: Transfer RNA (tRNA) molecules are approximately 80 nucleotides in length. Their secondary structure includes four short double-helical elements and three loops (D, anti-codon, and T loops).
Source: RNAcentral
GCUUAUAUAGCUCAAAGGUAGAGCAACUGAUUUGUAAUCAGUUGGUUGGGGGUUCAAGUCCCUUUGUAAGCA